CAUGAAGAGAGGAAAAGCACUGGAUAGGAAAGAUUUCUGUGAAAUUUGAAGAUGGGAUGAUUUGCACACGUUUGUUUUACUCAAAUGCAGCAAUUACACUACCUAUUCGAAAUGAUACAAAACAUAUACAGCUAUAACAUAUACAGCUAUAACAUUACAAGCUUUAACAAAUCAGCAUGGCACACCAUGAGUGUUGGAGAAGCAUGAGUGUUGGAGAAGCAUGAGUGCUGUCCACAGUUAUCUAACACUAACACUAACUCCAACACAAGCCCGUGACACUGCACGAGGACAGCGCGCGGCGUGUAGACGUCGACCUGCCAUUAACAACUCAGCAGAGUGAACUGGGAUCUAAAGGCCCCAAACCUGUUCCAGCAUAACAAUGCCUCUGUGCACGCUGCAAGCUCCAUGAAGACGUGAUUUGCCAAGGUUGAUGUGGAAGACCCCGAGUGGCCUGGACCCGCGUGGCCUUACUGCUGACACAACAGGGAUCUAAAGGCCCCAAACCUGUUCCAGUAUAACAAUGCCUCUGUGCACACUGCAAGCUCCAUGAAGACAUGAUUUGCCAAGGUUGAUGUGGAAGAACCCGAGUGGCCUGCACCCGCGUGGCCUUACUGCUGACACAACAGUAAGGAAUAUAGACCAUUACACUCAUAUAUGGUCUUUCCCCAAACUGUUGUCACACAUUUAAAAGCACACAAUUGUCUAGAAUGUCUUGGCUGUAGCUUUUCAAUUUUCCUUUACAGGAGCACAAAGUGAGGUCCAUGAAGACAUGGUUAGCCAAGGUUGAUGUGGAACAUAUUGCAUUGUAGUUGCACUAAUUCUUAGGUCUUACAGAUAUUGUAGUAUCGCACAGAUUACUAGUUGUUGCACACAUUCUUAGUUAUUGUACAUAUUAAAGUUAUUGAUACGUCACUGUGAGGUACUGUUGUGUAGUGCAAGACUGGAAAGACACUGCUCAUGAACUUAGACAUGCGAGGUCCAUGAAGUUUUCCAAGGUUGGUGUAGAAGAACCCGAGAGUCCUGCACAGAGUCCUGACCUCAGCUCCAGUGAACACCUUUGGGAUGAACUGAAACACUGACUGAAAAAGCACAUACGAGUGUGAU
Long non-coding RNA from Pangasianodon hypophthalmus (striped catfish), 1104 nucleotides. RefSeq lists it as uncharacterized. NCBI's taxonomy places the organism in Eukaryota, Metazoa, Chordata, Actinopteri, Siluriformes, Pangasiidae. The transcript is spliced from 3 exons. The record is from RefSeq and is a predicted model, not a curated record.